GAGGAGUGAUGAUGCUGAGAAGUGGUUUCGCUUUUUAAGCUGAUAUCAUGUGAUGUCCUAUCUUCUCUUGGCUGUCUGACCAA
RNAcentral lists this small nucleolar RNA (83 nucleotides) under Fundulus heteroclitus (mummichog). RNAcentral's name for it is "Small nucleolar RNA SNORD53/SNORD92 (ENSFHEG00000004715.1)". It matches the Rfam family "Small nucleolar RNA SNORD53/SNORD92". Rfam says of the family: U53 is a member of the C/D class of snoRNA which contain the C (UGAUGA) and D (CUGA) box motifs. Most of the members of the box C/D family function in directing site-specific 2'-O-methylation of substrate RNAs. The human orthologue HBII-316 (SNORD92) is predicted to guide the 2'O-ribose methylation of 28S rRNA A3846. The record is from RNAcentral. Lineage: Eukaryota; Metazoa; Chordata; Actinopteri; Cyprinodontiformes; Fundulidae.